GAUGAACGCUGGCGGCGUGCCUAAUACAUGCAAGUCGAGCGAACAGACGAGGAGCUUGCUCCUCUGACGUUAGCGGCGGACGGGUGAGUAACACGUGGAUAACCUACCUAUAAGACUGGGAUAACUUCGGGAAACCGGAGCUAAUACCGGAUAAUAUAUUGAACCGCAUGGUUCAGUAGUGAAAGACGGUUUUGCUGUCACUUAUAGAUGGAUCCGCGCCGCAUUAGCUAGUUGGUAAGGUAACGGCUUACCAAGGCAACGAUGCGUAGCCGACCUGAGAGGGUGAUCGGCCACACUGGAACUUAGACACGGUCCAGACUCCUACGGGAGGCAGCAGUAGGGAAUCUUCCGCAAUGGGCGAAAGCCUGACGGAGCAACGCCGCGUGAGUGAUGAAGGUCUUCGGAUCGUAAAACUCUGUUAUUAGGGAAGAACAAAUGUGUAAGUAACUAUGCACGUCUUGACGGUACCUAAUCAGAAAGCCACGGCUAACUACGUG
RNAcentral lists this ribosomal RNA (497 nucleotides) under uncultured bacterium. RNAcentral's name for it is "partial 16S ribosomal RNA". It matches the Rfam family "Bacterial small subunit ribosomal RNA", at positions 28 to 507 of the family's 1533-position model. The record is from RNAcentral.